This 553-nucleotide unclassified non-coding RNA is filed under the name Hevea brasiliensis (rubber tree). The record is from RNAcentral. Lineage: Eukaryota; Viridiplantae; Streptophyta; Magnoliopsida; Malpighiales; Euphorbiaceae.
GAGAAAUUUUGAGUAAAAGAAUUCUAGCACUUCUUUAUUUUACUCCCUUGAGAAACCUUUGGUCAUACAAUGCAUAUGAGAUACAAAAAUAAAGAGAAACGAGGGAAAGCGAUGGUUGUUAAAUAAAAUGAUGAAAGCCAAUCGUGUGUUCACCUUGAGAAAGGGUGAGCGGAGGAUACAACCCCAAAAUGGGGGAGGGGCAUGAUGUCCUUAUUAGAAACAUAUUGUGGCAUGCACAACGUAUAAGUGAUAUGUUGGGCAAAUGAGUAUUCUUGAUGUUGGUGAGUCCUGAAGAGGUGGUAUGCGAGUGCAGUACACCAAUUGGGGAUUAUCAAUACAAAGGAUGCUAGCGUGGGCAAAAGGGGUGCGAAAUUGGCAAAUGACAUUUGCCAAGCAAGUAACAUCAUUUGAGACUUUGGUCGGACAAAAAUGAGACGAUCGAUAUUGAGAAAACAUUAGAAUAUAUGGGGCAAAUGGUAGCCCUAAAGCCAUUGAGAUGGUGAAUGACCCUUGUCGGGUGAUGAGAUAAUACUCGGGAUUGCUUAAAAGACUG